GUUACAUUCUCGCACAAGUGACAUGUACUGUAAACAAAUUACAUUCUCCGUGUAUACGCACCGAAAGGCUUUAAAGUUUGCCCAAUUGAUCGGAGAGACGUUUUCAUUAACUCUUACUAUACAACUAGUGCUAAAUACAAUAAUGAUCAGCAUUACAUUGUUACAAGUCACGCAACAGCAAGCCGG
This is a long non-coding RNA of Acromyrmex echinatior (Panamanian leafcutter ant), 186 nucleotides long. The record is from RefSeq and is a predicted model, not a curated record. NCBI's taxonomy places the organism in Eukaryota, Metazoa, Arthropoda, Insecta, Hymenoptera, Formicidae.